RNAcentral lists this long non-coding RNA (390 nucleotides) under Musa acuminata (dwarf banana). RNAcentral's name for it is "long non-coding RNA (MACU_LNC010564)". Lineage: Eukaryota; Viridiplantae; Streptophyta; Magnoliopsida; Zingiberales; Musaceae. The record is from RNAcentral.
UCACCAAUCAGAAGAAACCUCCUCUAGUGGGGUCCGUUCGUUAUAGGAGGGCCCACUAAAUAGGUUCGCUGCCUAUGCUGUUUCGAGUUGUGGGUGUUCUAAGGAAUCCUCUCCCGGGAGCGGAGGCAACAUAGGGUGCCAAUGUGCAGCAAUCACGCGGAUCGCUGACGUGUACAAGAAAAACCCCGCCCCAAACACCGCCGCUCCGUCCGCCAUCCGAGCCGUUGGAUUUCAAUUUACCCCUCUGCACACCCUAUUGAUGUUCGCCCUUCUUAUCUCCUCCCAUUCGGCCCCCCGUCUCCUGCCCCGUACGUCUUCUCUUCUCGACACCAUCCUCACCCGAAGAAGCGCCAAUCUCAAGGUGAAGCCCCCCCGCCCCCCCCCCCCCCC